This 460-nucleotide ribosomal RNA is filed under the name uncultured bacterium. Its description in RNAcentral is "partial 16S ribosomal RNA". It matches the Rfam family "Bacterial small subunit ribosomal RNA", at positions 338 to 795 of the family's 1533-position model. The record is from RNAcentral.
CCUACGGGUGGCAGCAGUGAGGAAUAUUGGUCAAUGGACGAGAGUCUGAACCAGCCAAGUAGCGUGAAGGAUGACUGCCCUAUGGGUUGUAAACUUCUUUUAUAUGGGAAUAAAACGUUCCACGUGUGGGCUUUUGUAUGUACCAUAUGAAUAAGGCUCGGCGAACUCCGUGCCAGCAGCCGCGGUAAUACGGAGGAUCCGAGCGUUAUCCGGAUUUAUUGGGUUUAAAGGGAGCGUAGGUGGAUUGUUAAGUCAGUUGUGAAAGUUUGCGGCUCAACCGUAAAAUUGCAGUUGAAACUGGCAGUCUUGAGGACAGUAGAGGUGGGCGGAAUUCGUGGUGUAGCGGUGAAAUGCUUAGAUAUCACGAAGAACUCCGAUUGCGAAGGCAGCUCACUGGACUGCAACUGACACUGAGGCUCGAAAGUGUGGGUAUCAAACAGGAUUAGAUACCCUGGUAGUC